Molecule: ribosomal RNA, 446 nt
Filed under: uncultured bacterium
Lineage: Bacteria
Description: partial 16S ribosomal RNA
Rfam family: Bacterial small subunit ribosomal RNA
Source: RNAcentral
CCUACGGGAGGCAGCAGUCGAGAAUCAUUCACAAUGGGGGAAACCCUGAUGGUGCGACGCCGCGUGGGGGAAUGAAGGUCUUCGGAUUGUAAACCCCUGUCAUGUGGGAGCAAAUUAAAAAGAUAGGACCAGAAGAGGAAGAGAAGGCUAACUCUGUGCCAGCAGCCGCGGUAAUACAGAGGUCUCAAGUGUGGUUCGGAAUCACUGGGCGUAAAGCGUGCGUAGGCUGUUUCGUAAGUCGUGUGUGAAAGGCGCGGGCUGAACCCGGGGACGGAAAAUGAUAGUGCGAGACUAGAGUAAAGGAGGGGGAGGCGGAAUUCUCGGUGUAGCAGUGAAAUGCGUAGAUAUCGAGAGGAACACUCGUGGCGAAGGCGGGUUCCUGGACAUUAACUGACGCUGAGGCACGAAGGCGAGGGGAGCGAUAGGGAUUAGAUACCCGAGUAGUC